UACGAAGGGGGCUAGCGUUGCUCGGAAUCACUGGGCGUAAAGCGCACGUAGGCGGCUUUUUAAGUCAGGGGUGAAAUCCUGGAGCUCAACUCCAGAACUGCCUUUGAUACUGGCGACCUUGAGUCCGGGAGAGGUGAGUGGAACUGCGAGUGUAGAGGUGAAAUUCGUAGAUAUUCGCAAGAACACCAGUGGCGAAGGCGGCUCACUGGCCCGGUACUGACGCUGAGUUGCGAAAGCGUGGGGAGCAAACAGG
RNAcentral lists this ribosomal RNA (253 nucleotides) under uncultured bacterium. RNAcentral describes it as "partial 16S ribosomal RNA". It matches the Rfam family "Bacterial small subunit ribosomal RNA", at positions 524 to 776 of the family's 1533-position model. The record is from RNAcentral.